UCGCAGCAAGGCUUCCCCUCUACCCUCUCUGGGCCUCUCACAAAGGCUGAGCCCCGCCCCGCUGAGGCCUGUCUGCAGAAUCCACAGCAACCAGCACCAUGCCCAUGACACUGGGGUACUGGAACAUCCGCGGGCUGGCCCAUUCCAUCCGCCUGCUCCUGGAAUACACAGACUCAAGCUACGAGGAAAAAAAGUACACGAUGGGGGACGCUCCUGAUUAUGACAGAAGCCAGUGGCUGAAUGAAAAAUUCAAGCUGGGCCUGGAUUUUCCCAAUCUGCCCUACUUGAUUGAUGGGACUCACAAGAUCACCCAGAGCAACGCCAUCCUGCGGUACAUUGCCCGCAAGCACAACCUGUGCGGGGAAUCAGAAAAGGAGCAGAUUCGCGAAGACAUUUUGGAGAACCAGUUUAUGCAGCUGGCCAAACUCUGCUAUGACCCAGAUUUUGUAAGUCCCCCCAAGUCCCCCCCACCCCACUCCCAGUCUCCCCUACCCUACUCCCAGUCUCCCUUUUCCCUGCAGAGUUUGUGUCCAAAAUUGAUUCCUUCUGGUGAGUUCUUGGUCUUGCUGACUCUAAGAAUGAAGCCGCGGUCCUACACGGUGAGUGUUACAGUUCUUAAAGAUGGUGUAUCCGGAGUUUGUUCCUUCAGAUGUUCAGAUGUGUCCGCAGUUUCUUCCUUCCGGUGGGUUUGUGGUCUUGCUGACUUCAGGGGUGAAGCCGCAGACCUUCGCAGAGAAACUGAAACCAGAAUACCUGCAGGCACUCCCUGAAAUGCUGAAGCUCUACUCACAGUUUCUGGGGAAGCAGCCAUGGUUUCUUGGGGACAAGAUCACCUUUGUGGAUUUCAUCGCUUAUGAUGUCCUUGAGAGAAACCAAGUAUUUGAGCCCAGCUGCCUGGAUGCCUUCCCAAACCUGAAGGACUUCAUCUCCCGAUUUGAGGGCUUGGAGAAGAUCUCUGCCUACAUGAAGUCCAGCCGCUUCCUCCCAAGACCUGUGUUCACAAAGAUGGCUGUCUGGGGCAACAAGUAGGGCCUUGAAGGCCAGGAGGUGGGAGUGAGGAGCCCAUACUCAGCCUGCUGCCCAGACUGUGCAGCGCAGCUGGACUCUGCAUCCCAGCACCUGCCUUCUCGUUCCUUUCUCCUGUUUAUUCCCAUCUUUACUCCCAAGACUUCAUUGUCCCUCUUCACUUCCCCUAAACCCCUGUCCUAUGCAGGCCCUUUGAAGCCUCAGCUACCCACUAUCCUUCGUGAACAUCCCCUCCCAUCAUUACCCUUCCCUGCACUAAAGCCAGCCUGACCUUCCUUCCUGUUAGUGGUUGUGUCUGCUUUGAAGGGCCUGCCUGGCCCCUCGCCUGUGGAGCUCAGCCCCGAGCUGUCCCCGUGUUGCAUGAAGGAGCAGCAUUGACUGGUUUACAGGCCCUGCUCCUGCAGCGUGGUCCCUGCCUUAGGCCUACCUGAUGGAAGUAAAGCCUCAACCACA
RNA transcript from Pan troglodytes (chimpanzee), 1479 nucleotides. It is a transcript of the gene named glutathione S-transferase mu 2, with no coding region annotated. The record is from RefSeq and is marked validated. Lineage: Eukaryota; Metazoa; Chordata; Mammalia; Primates; Hominidae. The transcript has 8 exons.